RNAcentral lists this long non-coding RNA (973 nucleotides) under Mus pahari (shrew mouse). RNAcentral's name for it is "predicted gene 10550 (MGP_PahariEiJ_G0003629.1)". Lineage: Eukaryota; Metazoa; Chordata; Mammalia; Rodentia; Muridae. The record is from RNAcentral.
GAGGAAACCCAGGCACCACCAGUCCUGUGACAUGCAAGAUUCAUGAGGUGUGCACUGACACUUGGCAAGCGAAAGGAGACCCAGGACUACAGGACUCUCUGAUGGUCUGCUGCUGACCAAUGACCACUGAGAACAGGCACAGGCUAUGUGGAGCCCAGAGAGACCUGACACACAGCAGGAGAACCUCCCCUAUUCAGCCCUCUUUCGGUCCAUGGGCUCACGAGGGACAGACGGCCUCUCUCGAGUGUGCUUGGAAGAGAAACUAUAUGAAUGAAGUGAGCCAAUGAACUUGCAAGCUCCAGAUCCCGGAGGUGUGAAGUCGUCCAUAGAAAUGCCGCUCUUGUCUGCCCCCUCAGCGUCGGCAGAGGAAGAGGCCUUCUGGUGGUCAGCCUCUGCAGUAGCCGCUUGCACCUCUUCCUGGCCUCCGGCCAAUGGGGCAGCUGGGUCAGCUCCUGGAGUUUUUUCCAGAGACUGACCCUGCUUCUGGCCAACAGCACCUGGGGUGGCCUUGGGGGCUGCAUCAUCUUGUGGGGAAGCUCGCUUCAACUUUCGGGGCUCUGGCUUGGCCAUCAAGUUAUCACUUGAAGACAGUGAAGAGCCUAUGGUUCCUUUCCCUGCUUCUGUGCUUGUGUGGCCCCUCACGGCCCCUGUGGUCUUUCUCCUAGCAUGGCCAUGUCCUCCAGCCCCCCUCUUCUUCUCUGACAGGUGGAAAAUAGAGGGUACAGCCGUGGGCUUCAGCAGGCGAUGCUGGUCCUCCAGCCUUUUGGAGAAGCUGUCUUUGGUAAAAUGUUCACUACAGAGGAAUGAAUACUUAGUUGGGGUCCAAUUAUCCCUCUGAACAGCUUUUAACCACUGGAUCAGUCGUUUGGAGUCCUUUAGGGGAAACCUUCAAAACAAAUGACAAAGUACUUAGAAAUAUUGACAUGCUUUCUUCUAAAACUAUUAUCAAUAAAAGCAAAUCAAGUAUUUCUGC